AAUCAACGCUGGCGGCGUGCCUAACACAUACAAGUCGAACGAGAAAGUGGAGCAAUCCAUGAGUAAAGUGGCGACCGGGUGAGUAACACGUGACUAACCUACCUUCGAGUGGGGGAUAACCUCGGGAAACCGAGGCUAAUACCGCAUAACAUCGCAAGAUCAAAGCAGCAAUGCGCUGGAAGAGGGGGUCGCGGCUGAUUAGCUAGUUGGCGGGGUAACGGCCCACCAAGGCGAAGAUCGGUAUCCGGCCUGAGAGGGCGCACGGACACACUGGAACUGAAACACGGUCCAGACUCCUACGGGAGGCAGCAGUGGGGAAUUUUGCGCAAUGGGGGAAACCCUGACGCAGCAACGCCGCGUGGAGGAUGAAGCCCCUUGGGGCGUAAACUCCUUUCGACCAAGACGAUAAUGACGGUACUGGUGGAAGAAGCACCGGCUAACUCUGUGCCAGCAGCCGCGGUAAUACAGAGGGUGCGAGCGUUGUUCGGAAUUAUUGGGCGUAAAGGGCGCGUAGGCGGUGCCACAAGUCACUUGUGAAAUCCCCGGGCUUAACCCGGGGCCUGCAGGCGAAACUGUGGUGCUGGAGUAUGGGAGAGGUGCGUGGAAUUCCCGGUGUAGCGGUGAAAUGCGUAGAUAUCGGGAGGAACACCUGUGGCGAAAGCGGCGCACUGGACCAUAACUGACGCUGAGGCGCGAAAGCUAGGGGAGCAAACAGGAUUAGAUACCCUGGUAGUCCUAGCCCUAAACGAUGAUUGCUUGGUGUAGCAGGUACCCAAUCCUGCUGUGCCGCAGCUAACGCGAUAAGCAAUCCGCCUGGGGAGUACGGUCGCAAGGCUG
Molecule: ribosomal RNA, 837 nt
Filed under: uncultured bacterium
Lineage: Bacteria
Description: bacterial SSU rRNA
Rfam family: Bacterial small subunit ribosomal RNA
Source: RNAcentral